GAUCAGUCGGUCGUGAUGGCCACGAUGAUGGAUGAACUUUUGAAGAACGGCCUUAAAAAGUUGUUAGUGAAGGCUUAUCCUCAGGAUUAUUCUGAUUUGCUGGUCUGGAUGAAAAAGUAUGCUCGCAUGGAGGAGGUCUUCAUCGAAGAGGUUCCUACCAGUUCUAUUGCAGUAGAGCAGAAUAAGGAGCACUCCCAAAGAUGGGAGGGGAGAACUCACCAGUGCUUCUGGUCCCCAUUCCAAAAAUAGAAAACUCGAGGC
RNAcentral lists this long non-coding RNA (261 nucleotides) under Elaeis guineensis (African oil palm). RNAcentral's name for it is "long non-coding RNA (EGUI_LNC061626)". The record is from RNAcentral. Lineage: Eukaryota; Viridiplantae; Streptophyta; Magnoliopsida; Arecales; Arecaceae.